This 787-nucleotide long non-coding RNA is filed under the name Rattus norvegicus (Norway rat). RNAcentral's name for it is "long non-coding RNA NONRATT000184". Lineage: Eukaryota; Metazoa; Chordata; Mammalia; Rodentia; Muridae. The record is from RNAcentral.
GAACAAAAAAAAAAAAAUUAAUCCUCAUCCGCACACGGUAAAGUGGCUACGAAAGCAGCUGAACAGAAGGCUCGAAUUACCUGCCUUUUUCUGCUUCUUAAAAGAAAAACGUCUCAGCCAAAAGGCUGCGAGCUGAUACACGUUUCUGUAUAGCUAGUCUCCUAAAUGAGGUUUCAACAUUCAGAACUCCGCUCCAGGGAAGAGAAGGGAGAAGACUCUGCAGGGAUAACUUGCGGCAGAAGCUGCUGAUGGCUGUCAGGGACCCUCCAGACAGCUCCCACGCAUCCGCUUCUGCCGUCUGAGCAGAGCCUGGAUGGCCAGGACCACCCACAGAGUUCCGCCGCCUGACACUCUGACCACCUCAGGCCUGAGAAAGCCGUCCGUCAGGCAAAGGGCGCAGUGCUGCCUCCGUCAGUUGUCCGGGACACGUCACUUUCUGUCUCCUCUCCCACUGUGAUCAGAGGCAGAAUGAGCCAUGAACCGCGGGUGCUCUCCUGGGAGUCACUUGCAGCAGAGAGAAGGAUGUGCGAAUUAAAAUUGUGUGAAAUCCUGCUUCCUCUCACACCAGGAGACUCGACGGAGAUGGCGAGGACUAACUCUCCUCCCGGUGACCGCCCGUCUCAGGCCCCACCCCCUCACCGAGCCCUGUCUCCUCCAUUGCUUCAUCUCCUGCUGCAGACUCUUCUAAAGACAACAGGAGCAGAGGGUCGCAGGGGCCCCACCCUGUCUGCCUUCAUGCUGCAAACGCUUCUCCCCAUCUCAGGACAGGUUCACUUUAAAAAAAAAA